AAGUGCCACCUACUAGGUUAAUUACCCCCUUCUGAGCCACUGUAACCCCUUUAGGGGUGGUGUGGAAUGAACACCCCAUCACAUCUUGAGUCCCUGCUUCCCAGGAUCAAGUCCCCCAUCUUUGAUCCAGAAGCAUUCAAGAGCAUUUUCUUCCAAGUUAUCAGUGACUCAGACUGGGUGGCUGUGGGGUGCUGAAAGCCAUGGAACAAAACUGUAAACCCUGUAUACG
Molecule: long non-coding RNA, 229 nt
Organism: Chelonia mydas (Green sea turtle)
Lineage: Eukaryota; Metazoa; Chordata; Testudines; Cheloniidae
Exons: 3
Source: RefSeq, a predicted model, not a curated record